AGUCCCUAUUCCCGCCCUGAAGGUGGCCAAAAGGCUGACUCCCUCCAAGCAGCCCGCCCGCGCCUCCAUCGCCCCCACCCACGUCCCACUCGCCAGCUGCGGACUGAACCCUCACCCUCAAGGGGGUGUAGGUAGGGAAAGAGUUUUGAGCAAGAUUGGGGGUAUCCCUUCAUCCGAAGAUUGUUUGGGAAAGGUUAGGAGCUCUAAAAUGUAUUGAAGCCAACUCUUAAGCGCAAAGUAAAAGAUAAUUUGCGUCCGUCUGCGAGGUAGGACUGAAGAUUCUAUAGAGUGGGCUUCCGAGGAGCAGGAGACACAGGGCGAGCAUGAGAACAUAGGUCUGGAAUGAGGUUCCACCGAGCGUCCGUAGUCUCCUUAGGCGACAUCUAUCGCUUCCUUUAGCACUUCGCAGGAGUCAACGCGGGGUUGGUUGCCCCCAACAGUGGAGCGUUUCCAUAAAGCCGAGCAGAUGAGCCUUCCCAGCCGCCUGCACUGCACCCUUCCCCGCCCCCAACUCCGUACUGGCACCCUGUGUGCCUGAAGGGCUGACACACGUUCUCCCAAAACCUUCAGAAGCGCUUUGCCUUGAAAGAGCUCUCCCUCGUGUGUGUGUGUGUGUGUGUGUGUGUGUGUGUGUGUGUGUGUGUGUGUGUGUGUUUAAACCAUCUCCAGGAUCCCUUAUCAUUUGCUUCCUCUCUCCUUUUUCUCUCUGUUUCUCCCUGUCUUUUUUCUGACGCUUAAGUUUCAGGAUCUUUUAGUUUUUUUCCAUCACAUACAUGUGUAGGUUUUCUGGUACAAACGCCCUGAAACAUCACUUGGGAGGUUAAGACAGGCCCGCGAGUAAAAGCUGGGGACGGAGUGGGUGGGCAGCCAGGUGCAUUACCAGCGCCUUUAUGCCUCUGCCUACACUUCCCGGCCUCCCCCCAUCCCCCCACCCCCCCACCCCACGCCUCACCGUCGCUCCCCGGCCCCACAACAUGAACUUGGAAGCAGAAUUUCAGGCCAAGAUGGAACCUCCCCGUCUCAGGAAGGCGAUUUCUGUUUAAUCCUUGGGAGGCUGCGCUGGCUGGGCCAGGCAGCACGCUCCUUUUCCGAUUAGGGAAAGGACUAAGCUGGGCCGGCAGUCUGCGACCCCUUCCCGGAACCCCAGCCGACUUCGGGGUAUACCUGAGCGCCUUCCGAUGGCUGCUCGCGGGGGUGUGAUCAUCGUCCCCGCAUCAGGCCCGCCAGGCAUCUGCGCGACUCGGGGGUAGGAGGGAGAUGCGUGGGUGGGAGGUGGGGGUCAAACCAAACACCGACAGGGCACACCUACGUUUAUGAUCCUUAAAUGAACUGCGAGGGAAAUUGUGUAAGUAUAAUUUAACUGAGAGAAAUUUAUUGCGAAAUACGCUUAGAGGACUGUGGUCUUUAACAGCCUCAGGGGUUCUUCGGCAAAGAGGUAACGGGGCUUGGAUUUACCACAACUCUGCGGCCACGUUUUCAAAUUUGGAAAAGAUGAGAAAAGAAGGUUCAGGUAAGUCACCCUUUGCAAACAUAACCAAAAUCUUCAAAGCAGGAGGAAGACUAGACGACUGCAUGCUUUAACCAUGAUGUGCCAGAUUACCUUAAAAAUGUACUUUAAAUUACCUACACACAAAUUUUCCUUAAAGAAUGAGAUAGUUUGAGUUUGCGGACUUAAAAUCAACUCAGUAGUUUUGAAAAGUGCCCCUCCCCCCCCCCACAGUCUUUCCAUUUUAAACUGUGAACCUAAUAUAACUUCUAGGCCUUUAUACAAUUAAUUCUGAACAAUCAAGGGACUAAACACUUUUACAAUGUAAUUACAGUAGUACAAAUUGUUUGCCCAAACCUCAUUCUGGAUAAGGAUUUUACAAUUAGCAAACAGUUAUUACAGUUGGGGCUUGCUGAGAGAAAUUGCACAGAGGAUGUCUAGAGUUGCAAUAUAGUAGCCAUAAAAAAAAAAAAAACUCCUUUAGCAGGGCAGCAAUUAAUCAUCUAUUAAAAGGAAACAAAUGAAGGGACAGGUCUAGGUAUCUUAGUAAACUACUGUCAAUAUUUAUGCCCAUUUUUUGACAGCCCCUAUUCCUAACUUAUUUCAGAUACUUGCUUUUUUAAGGCAAUAGCACUUUUAUUUUGCAAAAACUUGGCCUGGUGAAAACUUCUGGCACUUGGCCCUAGCUCUUGCGAUUCAGGCCUUCCGUUCUCUUCUCAUCCUUCUUAUCUCAGAGCAUCUUUCCAGAGAUAGAGAACGGUGACAAAAGGAGGCAGACUGGGCCCUUGGUCUCUAUUGUUUACACCCUCCUGUAUGGAGGCAUUUCAAGCCCUCAGUGCUCCUCUGAGCUGCUGGUAAAGUCGUCUCGGAGAACUCCCCUGACUUUAUGUUCUAUAAGGAAUUGUGCUUCUGGAAAGAUCUAUAUCCUAAAUUAGGCUUUUGUCCCAAAAGGUCACACUGAUGAGUCAGCUCCAAAACCCUUAGAAACUAAAGAGGCACCUCUUAAGGUAAAACGUGUGUGUAUUUGCCAGCCCAGAAUAAACAAAAGCCUGUUAAUCAAUCGAGUUUGGCAGCUGUGUUCACAAAAUGAUAAGGGUUUAUCAUUUGCCACCAAACUUUAAGAUGUCCCUUAAAAUGCUGUGAUUGGUUUUUAGGUUGUCCUGUGGUGUGGAGGCUUGGCGUUUGUAUUUCAAAAACAUUCAUCCUCUGCAUCUCUCCCCCUCACUAGCAUUGACAUUUCAAAAAAACAGAAAUAAGAGGAGGGAGGGAAAGAUAGUUUAAAGAAAAUAGAUUCGAAAUCUAGUACAGAUAAUAGAGGAAUGCUGGAGAUAAGAGCCUGGAGGUGAUAUGAGAAAGGCACCAAGAAGUCAAAGCUAAUGAAUGGCUGUGAGAAAAGUGAAAUAAACUAUUGAGAGAUCUAUUAAAGGGGGAAACCUGGUUAGGUGAUAUCAAAGGGGGUUAACUGAGAGGAUUAGGGAGGAUGUUAAUCAAGUGCUCUAAAGCAUUACAGGCUAUAAGGACUGAAAGAUUUGUUUACUGCAUUUUGCUUCAGAAAACAAAGAAUGUCUGGGUCCAGUUCAGAAGUCAAUUAGAGGUCAGCUUAGGCUCUCCAAGGGUUGCAGGGAAAAUACCUAAGUUACUAUAUUCUG
Molecule: long non-coding RNA, 3135 nt
Filed under: Homo sapiens (human)
Lineage: Eukaryota; Metazoa; Chordata; Mammalia; Primates; Hominidae
Description: HSALNT0303153
Source: RNAcentral